UACGUAGGGGGCAAGCGUUGUCCGGAAUUAUUGGGCGUAAAGAGCUCGUAGGUGGUCUGUCACGUCGGAUGUGAAAACUCGGGGCUCAACCCCGAGCCUGCAUUCGAUACGGGCAGACUAGAGUUCGGUAGGGGAGACUGGAAUUCCUGGUGUAGCGGUGAAAUGCGCAGAUAUCAGGAGGAACACCGGUGGCGAAGGCGGGUCUCUGGGCCGAUACUGACGCUGAGGAGCGAAAGCGUGGGGAGCGAACAGG
This 253-nucleotide ribosomal RNA is filed under the name uncultured bacterium. Its description in RNAcentral is "partial 16S ribosomal RNA". It matches the Rfam family "Bacterial small subunit ribosomal RNA", at positions 524 to 776 of the family's 1533-position model. The record is from RNAcentral.